AAAGUACUCCCUCCAUCCCAAAAUUCUUGUCUUAGAUCUGUCUAGAUACAGAUGUAUCAAGUCACAUUUUAGUAUUAGAUACAUCCAUAUCUAGACAAAUCUAAGACAAGAAAUUUGGGACAGAGGGAGUAGUUG
This is a non-coding RNA of Triticum aestivum (bread wheat), 135 nucleotides long. Lineage: Eukaryota; Viridiplantae; Streptophyta; Magnoliopsida; Poales; Poaceae. The record is from Rfam.